This 776-nucleotide ribosomal RNA is filed under the name uncultured bacterium. RNAcentral describes it as "bacterial SSU rRNA". It matches the Rfam family "Bacterial small subunit ribosomal RNA", at positions 8 to 796 of the family's 1533-position model. The record is from RNAcentral.
AGAGUUUGAUCAUGGCUCAGGACGAACGCUGGCGGCGUGCUUAACACAUGCAAGUCGGACGGUAAGGCCCCUUUCGGGGGGUACACGAGUGGCGAACGGGUGAGUAACACGUGAGGAACGUGCCCUUGACUUCGGUAUAGCUCCAGGAAACUGGUGGUAAUCCCGAAUAUGAGCCUGGCCUGCAUGGGUUGGGUUGGAAAGCUUUAUGCGGUCAGGGAUCGUCUCGCGGCCUAUCAGCUUGUUGGUGGGGUAAUGGCCUACCAAGGCAGCGACGGGUAGCCGGCCUGAGAGGGUGACCGGCCACAUUGGGACUGAGAUACGGCCCAGACUCCUACGGGAGGCAGCAGUGGGGAAUAUUGCACAAUGGGCGCAAGCCUGAUGCAGCAACGCCGCGUGCGGGAUGACGGCCUUCGGGUUGUAAACCGCUUUCAUCCAUGACGAAGCGCAAGUGACGGUAGUGGGAGAAGAAGCACCGGCUAACUACGUGCCAGCAGCCGCGGUGAUACGUAGGGUGCGAGCGUUGUCCGGAAUUAUUGGGCGUAAAGAGCUUGUAGGCGGUUGAUCACGUCGGAAGUGAAAUUCCAGGGCUUAACUCUGGGCUUGCUUUCGAUACGGGUUGACUUGAGGAAUGUAGGGGAGAAUGGAACUCUCGGUGGAGCGGUGGAAUGCGCAGAUAUCGGGAAGAACACCAGUGGCGAAGGCGGUUCUCUGGACAUUUCCUGACGCUGAGAAGCGAAAGCGUGGGGAGCAAACAGGCUUAGAUACCCUGGUAGUCC